This 294-nucleotide unclassified non-coding RNA is filed under the name Hevea brasiliensis (rubber tree). Lineage: Eukaryota; Viridiplantae; Streptophyta; Magnoliopsida; Malpighiales; Euphorbiaceae. The record is from RNAcentral.
GGCGAAUCGGCUUGCCCUGGGAUUGUAAAUGAUUAUACAUCUGUAUUGGCAAAAAAAUUUGGUGCUGCUUUGGUUUCCCUUGAGCAUCGAUACUAUGGGAAGAGUUCCCCUUACAGUGAUCUGACCACAGAAAACCUAAGAUACCUGUCUUCGAAGCAGGCUCUAUAUGACUUGGCUGUUUUUCGCGAGUAUUAUCAGGAACAUUUGAACACAAAAUACAAUCUUUCAAAAGUUGAGAACUCCUGGUUUGUUUUCGGUGUUUCAUACUCUGGAGCACUUAGUGCCUGGUUCCGU